GUUAAGCGACUAAGCGUACACGGUGGAUGCCCUGGCAGUCAGAGGCGAUGAAGGGCGUGCUAAUCUGCGAUAAGCGCCGGUAAGGUGAUAUGAACCGUUAUAACCGGCGAUACCCGAAUGGGGAAACCCAGUGUGAUUCGUCACACUAUCAUUAACUGAAUCCAUAGGUUAAUGAGGCGAACCGGGGGAACUGAAACAUCUAAGUACCCCGAGGAAAAGAAAUCAACCGAGAUUCCCCCAGUAGCGGCGAGCGAACGGGGAGGAGCCCAGAGCCUGAAUCAGCAUGUGUGUUAGUGGAAGCGUCUGGAAAGGCGCGCGAUACAGGGUGACAGCCCCGUACACAAAAGCGCAUGUGCUGUGAGCUCGAUGAGUAGGGCGGGACACGUGGUAUCCUGUCUGAAUAUGGGGGGACCAUCCUCCAAGGCUAAAUACUCCUGACUGACCGAUAGUGAACCAGUACCGUGAGGGAAAGGCGAAAAGAACCCCGGCGAGGGGAGUGAAAAAGAACCUGAAACCGUGUACGUACAAGCAGUGGGAGCACAGGU
Molecule: ribosomal RNA, 545 nt
Filed under: Salmonella enterica subsp. enterica serovar Bareilly
Lineage: Bacteria; Pseudomonadati; Pseudomonadota; Gammaproteobacteria; Enterobacterales; Enterobacteriaceae
Description: partial 23S ribosomal RNA
Rfam family: Bacterial large subunit ribosomal RNA
Source: RNAcentral